Long non-coding RNA from Gorilla gorilla gorilla (western lowland gorilla), 4651 nucleotides. RefSeq lists it as uncharacterized. The transcript has 8 exons. The record is from RefSeq and is a predicted model, not a curated record. NCBI's taxonomy places the organism in Eukaryota, Metazoa, Chordata, Mammalia, Primates, Hominidae.
GCCCAGGGUUAGGGCUUCAGGGUCAGGGCCCGGGGCCCAGGGUUAGGGCUUCAGGGUCAGGGCCCGGGGCCGGGGCCCAGGGUUAGGGUUUUAGGGUCAGGGCCCGGGGCCCAGGGUUAGGGUUUUAGGGUCAGGGCCCGGGGCCCAGGGUUAGGGUGAUUUCCAGGAAGUGACCUCACAACGAUUCAAGCUACCACUUACUGUUGAUUGUGAUGAAAUGCCAGCUGAGGCACACGCCUUGGGAGCUAAGUGGUUGCUGCCCUUGACUACUAUGAAGACUCUUGUGGGAAGGGUCGCUUUGGAUGCACUUGAGCAGGGGUCCCCAACCCCUGAGCCAUGGAGUCGUAAGGAGGCACACAGCAGGUGAGUGGUGUCGAGUGAGGGAGUGAGGGAAGCUUCGUCUGUAUUUACAGCCACUCCCCUUUGCUCACAUUCCCGCCUGAGCUCCACCUUCUCAGAUGAGCAGCAGCAUUAGAUUCUCAUAGGAGAACGCACCCUGUUGUGAACCGUGCAUGUGAGGGAUCCAGGUUGCGCUGUUCUUAUGAGAAUCUAAUACCUAUUGAUCUGUCACUUUCUCCCAUCACGCUCAGGUGGGACCAUCCAGUUUCAGGAAAACAAGCUUAACACGCCCACUGAUUCUACAUUAUGCUCCUACCUCCCGGCAGCCUCUCCAGGCCCAGAACUCUCUCCAGUCAGCCUCUACAGACCAAGCUCAUGACUCACAAUGGCCUAUUGAGGCCCAUACCCUACCUCACGGCAGUCUCCGCAGAUGAGCCUACUGCCUCACAACAGCCUCCACAGGCACAGCUCCAUCGUUACAAUGGCCUCUUUAGACCCAGCUCCUGCCUCCCAGCCUUCUCUCCAGGCCCUGAACUUUCUCCGUGGGACCAUCCAGUUUCAGGAAAACAAGCUUAACACGCCCACUGAUUCUACAUUAUGCUCCUACCUCCCGGCAGCCUCUCCAGGCCCAGAACUCUCUCCAGUCAGCCUCUACAGACCAAGCUCAUGACUCACAAUGGCCUAUUGAGGCCCAUACCCUACCUCACGGCAGUCUCCGCAGAUGAGCCUACUGCCUCACAACAGCCUCCACAGGCACAGCUCCAUCGUUACAAUGGCCUCUUUAGACCCAGCUCCUGCCUCCCAGCCUUCUCUCCAGGCCCUGAACUUUCUCCGGUCUCCCUCUGUUGUCCGAGGCUGGAGGGUAGUAGUGCUAUCGCAGCUGACUGCAGCCUCAACCUUCCAGGCUGAAGCGAUCCUCCCAUCUCAACCUCCCACGUGGCUGAGACUACAGGUGCUUGCCACUAUGCCCAACUAAUAUUUGGUAUUUUCGUACACGUGGAUUCCAGAGGGGUAACAGCGAAACGUGGGACCAUCCAGUUUCAGGAAAACAAGCUUAACACGCCCACUGAUUCUACAUUAUGAUUCUUCAGGCCCAGCAUCUGCCUCACUGUGGACCCCCCAAGCCAAGCUCCCAACCUUUCAGCAGCUUCUACACACCCAGCUCCCGCCUGCCAGUGGCCUCUUCAGGCCCAUGGGGCUCAUUCCUCACAACAGCCUUUCCAGUCCCAGUUUUUCCCUUCCGGCGGCCUCUCCGGGCUGAGAACCUCCUCAAGUCGGCCUCUCCAGACCCACUUGCACCCUCCAGGCGUCCUCUCCGGGCCAAGCUCCUCUUCCUGGCUGCGUCUCCAGGCCCGACUCCUGCCUCUCAACAACCUCUUUGGACUCAGUGCCUACCCAUCUCCUGGCGUCCUUGGUCGGACCACAGCUUCCUCAAGCCAAGCUCCCCAGGCCCAGGUCAGGCCUCACGGUGCCCCCUCCACGAUGAGCUCAUGCCCUCCAAUGGCACCUGCAGGCCCCAAAUGGUCUCCGGUCGGUGGGCUCCUCCACGCCAAGCUUGGGCCUCCCGGUGACCUCUGCAGGCCCAAGUUGUCCUGAAGUCAGCAUCUCCCGGCCGUGCCUCCCAGCAAGUAAGCAAGCUCUUUUGGCUCAACUCCUGCCCAGCUCCCAACCGCCUUUGUAGGUCCCGAACUUUCUCCAGCCAAGUUCUUUGGGCCUCAUUCCUGCAGCCCGGUGGCCUGUACGGGCCCAGCAAUGGUUGGAGAAUGGCCUCUGCAGGUCCCGCUCUUGCCUCCCAGGGGCCUCUCCAGGCCCAGCUCUCGCCCCCACGGCGGCCACCCGGGGCCAAGUCCCUGCCUGCCUCCCAGCAGCCCGCAUGCGGCCCAGCUCCUCCCUCACGGUGGCCUGUUGAUGCCCAUGCCUCUGGUACCCUGCCCAGAGGCAUGAGCCCCUGCCACACACUGGCUCCUCCCACGCUGAGAGAGGUCAGCGUGAGCCCUUGCCUCACACCGGCCCCUCCCACGCUGAGAGAGGUCAGCGUGAGCCCCUUGCCUCACACCGGCCCCUCCCACGCUGAGAGAGGUCGGCGUGAGCCCUUGACUCACACCGGCCCCUCCCACGGUGAGAGAGGUCGGCGUGAGCCCCUUGCCUCACACCGGCCCCUCCCACGCUGAGAGAGGUCAGCGUGAGCCCUUGCCUCACACCGGACCCUCCCACGGUGAGAGAGGUCAGCGUCAGCCCCUUGCCUCACACCGGCCCCUCCCACGCUGAGAGAGGUCGGCGUGAGCCCCUUACCUCACACCGGCCCCUCCCACGCUGAGAGAGGUCAGCCUGAGCCCCUUACCUCACACCAGCCCCUCCCACGCUGACAGAGGUCAGCGUGAGCCCCUUGCCUCACCCCGGCCCCUCCCACGCUGAGAGAGGUCGGCGUGAGCCCUUGCCUCACACCGGCCCCUCCCACGCUGAGAGAGGUCAGCCUGAGCCCUUGCCUCACACCGGCCCCUCCCACGCUGACAGAGGUCAGCCUCAGCCCCUUACCUCACACCAGCCCCUCCCACGCUGAGAGAGGUCGGCGUGAGCCCUUGCCUCACACCGGCCCCUCCCACGCUGAGAGAGGUCAGCGUGAGCCCUUGCCUCACACCGGCCCCUCCCACGCUGAGAGAGGUCAGCGUGAGCCCUUGCCUCACACCGGCCCCUCCCACGCUGACAGAGGUCAGCCUGAGCCCCUUACCUCACACCAGCCCCUCCCACGCUGACAGAGGUCAGCGUGAGCCCCUUGCCUCACCCCGGCCCCUCCCACGCUGAGAGAGGUCGGCGUGAGCCCUUGCCUCACACCGGCCCCUCCCACGCUGAGAGAGGUCAGCGUGAGCCCUUGCCUCACACCGGCCCCUCCCACGCUGACAGAGGUCAGCCUCAGCCCCUUACCUCACACCGGCCCCUCCCACGCUGAGAGAGGUCGGCGUGAGCCCUUGCCUCACACCGGCCCCUCCCACGCUGAGAGGUCGGCGUGAGCCCCUUGCCUCACACCGGCCCCUCCCACUGUGAGAGAGGUCAGCGUGAGCCCUUGCCUCACACCGGCCCCUCCCACGCUGAGAGAGGUCGGCGUGAGCCCCUGCCUCAACAGGCCACCGUGAGGGAGGAGCAGGGUCGCACGAGGGCUGCUGUGAGGCAGGCAGCGACUUGGGCCUGGGAGGUCGUGGUGGGGCGAGAGCUGGGCUUGGAGACUCCCCUGGGAGGCAACAGCGGGGCCUACAGACUCUGUUCUCCAGCCGGAGGUGGGACUGUUCAGGUACUGGGAGGCGGGAUGUGGGUCUGAAGAGCUUGGUUGCAGAAACUUCGGGGUCUACAAACGCAGGCGGGAGCUGAGCCAAAAAAGCUUGUUUGCUGGGAGGCGGGAGAUGCAGCCAGGAGAAACAGGUGUGCCUGCAGAGGCCGCCAUGCGGGAGGCGGAGGCCGGGCCUCCUCAAAUCGGCCUCUCCAGACCCACUUGCAGCCUCCCGGCAUCCUCUCCGGGCCCAGCUCUUCCUCCCGGCUGUGUCUCCAGGCCUGACUCUGGCCUCCCAACAACGUCUUUGGACUCAGCUCCUGCCCAGCUCCCAGCAGGCCCAAGUCGUCGUCAAGUCGGCCUGGAAUUGGGCCCGGAAGAGCAGCAAGUCGGCCUCCCCGGGCCCAGCUCCGUCCUCUCGGCGGCCUCUCCAGGUGCAAAACUUCCUCGAGUCAGCCUCUCCAGGCCCAGCUCCUCCUGCCUCCCAGUGGCCUCUUUCAGCCCAGACCAGCUCAUGGCUCUUGGCGGCCUUCCCAGGCCCCGCUUUUGACUUUUGGUGGCCUCUUCAGGCCCAGAACUUGACCUCCAGUGGGCCUUUGCAGGCCCGGCCUCCUGCCUCUCGAAGGCCUGCACGGGCCCGGACUCACAGCGGACUCACAGCGGACUCUCCAUGCCCAGCUAGCUCUCGCCUCAUUGCGGCCUCCCGAGUCCAAAGCUCCUGCCUCUCGGCCGCUUCGGCAGGCCCAGCUCCCGCCUGCCAGUGGCCUCUUUAGGUCCAGCUCAUUCCUCACAACGGCCUUCCCAGGCCCCGUUUUUCCCUUCCGGCAGCCUCUUGGCCUCUAAUUUGUUUAUCUUUUGUGUAUAAAUCCCAAAAUAUUGAAUUUUGGAAUAUUUCCACCAUUAUGUAAAUAUUUUGGUAGGUGAUUUAUUUGGGGUGAGUUUCUGCACCAAGCCCGAAUUUUUUAUUUUAUUUUCCUUAUUAUUUGGUGUUAAACAGGUUUAAUGACGGUCACGGCAACUGUUUGACACAAUGAAAAAUAUCGCCCAUGA